This 2923-nucleotide ribosomal RNA is filed under the name Klebsiella pneumoniae. RNAcentral's name for it is "bacterial LSU rRNA". It matches the Rfam family "Bacterial large subunit ribosomal RNA". Lineage: Bacteria; Pseudomonadati; Pseudomonadota; Gammaproteobacteria; Enterobacterales; Enterobacteriaceae. The record is from RNAcentral.
GGGUUGUGAGGUUAAGCGACUAAGCGUACACGGUGGAUGCCCUGGCAGUCAGAGGCGAUGAAGGACGUGCUAAUCUGCGAAAAGCGUCGGUAAGGUGAUAUGAACCGUUAUAACCGGCGAUGUCCGAAUGGGGAAACCCAGUGUGAUUCGUCACACUAUCGUUAACUGAAUACAUAGGUUAACGAGGCGAACCGGGGGAACUGAAACAUCUAAGUACCCCGAGGAAAAGAAAUCAACCGAGAUUCCCCCAGUAGCGGCGAGCGAACGGGGAGCAGCCCAGAGUCUGAAUCAGCUUGUGUGUUAGUGGAACGGUCUGGAAAGUCCGACGGUACAGGGUGAUAGUCCCGUACACCAAAAUGCACAGGCUGUGAACUCGAAGAGUAGGGCGGGACACGUGGUAUCCUGUCUGAAUAUGGGGGGACCAUCCUCCAAGGCUAAAUACUCCUGACUGACCGAUAGUGAACCAGUACCGUGAGGGAAAGGCGAAAAGAACCCCGGCGAGGGGAGUGAAAAAGAACCUGAAACCGUGUACGUACAAGCAGUGGGAGCACCUUCGGGUGUGACUGCGUACCUUUUGUAUAAUGGGUCAGCGACUUAUAUUCUGUAGCAAGGUUAACCGUAUAGGGGAGCCGCAGGGAAACCGAGUCUUAACUGGGCGUUAAGUUGCAGGGUAUAGACCCGAAACCCGGUGAUCUAGCCAUGGGCAGGUUGAAGGUUGGGUAACACUAACUGGAGGACCGAACCGACUAAUGUUGAAAAAUUAGCGGAUGACUUGUGGCUGGGGGUGAAAGGCCAAUCAAACCGGGAGAUAGCUGGUUCUCCCCGAAAGCUAUUUAGGUAGCGCCUCGUGAACUCAUCUUCGGGGGUAGAGCACUGUUUCGGCUAGGGGGUCAUCCCGACUUACCAACCCGAUGCAAACUACGAAUACCGAAGAAUGUUAUCACGGGAGACACACGGCGGGUGCUAACGUCCGUCGUGAAGAGGGAAACAACCCAGACCGCCAGCUAAGGUCCCAAAGUCAUGGUUAAGUGGGAAACGAUGUGGGAAGGCACAGACAGCCAGGAUGUUGGCUUAGAAGCAGCCAUCAUUUAAAGAAAGCGUAAUAGCUCACUGGUCGAGUCGGCCUGCGCGGAAGAUGUAACGGGGCUAAACCAUGCACCGAAGCUGCGGCAGCGACACUAUGUGUUGUUGGGUAGGGGAGCGUUCUGUAAGCCUGCGAAGGUGACCUGUGAGGGUUGCUGGAGGUAUCAGAAGUGCGAAUGCUGACAUAAGUAACGAUAAAGCGGGUGAAAAGCCCGCUCGCCGGAAGACCAAGGGUUCCUGUCCAACGUUAAUCGGGGCAGGGUGAGUCGACCCCUAAGGCGAGGCCGAAAGGCGUAGUCGAUGGGAAACAGGUUAAUAUUCCUGUACUUGGUGUUACUGCGAAGGGGGGACGGAGAAGGCUAUGUUAGCCGGGCGACGGUUGUCCCGGUUUAAGCAUGUAGGCUGAUUGUCCAGGCAAAUCCGGAUAAUCAAGGCUGAGGUGUGAUGACGAGGCACUACGGUGCUGAAGUAACAAAUGCCCUGCUUCCAGGAAAAGCCUCUAAGCAUCAGGUAACAUCAAAUCGUACCCCAAACCGACACAGGUGGUCAGGUAGAGAAUACCAAGGCGCUUGAGAGAACUCGGGUGAAGGAACUAGGCAAAAUGGUGCCGUAACUUCGGGAGAAGGCACGCUGGUGUGUAGGUGAAGUCCCUGCGGAUGGAGCUGAGACCAGUCGAAGAUACCAGCUGGCUGCAACUGUUUAUUAAAAACACAGCACUGUGCAAACACGAAAGUGGACGUAUACGGUGUGACGCCUGCCCGGUGCCGGAAGGUUAAUUGAUGGGGUUAUCCGUAAGGAGAAGCUCUUGAUCGAAGCCCCGGUAAACGGCGGCCGUAACUAUAACGGUCCUAAGGUAGCGAAAUUCCUUGUCGGGUAAGUUCCGACCUGCACGAAUGGCGUAAUGAUGGCCAGGCUGUCUCCACCCGAGACUCAGUGAAAUUGAACUCGCUGUGAAGAUGCAGUGUACCCGCGGCAAGACGGAAAGACCCCGUGAACCUUUACUAUAGCUUGACACUGAACAUUGAGCCUUGAUGUGUAGGAUAGGUGGGAGGCUUUGAAGCGUGGACGCCAGUCUGCGUGGAGCCAACCUUGAAAUACCACCCUUUAAUGUUUGAUGUUCUAACGUUGGCCCCUGACCGGGGUUGCGGACAGUGUCUGGUGGGUAGUUUGACUGGGGCGGUCUCCUCCCAAAGCGUAACGGAGGAGCACGAAGGUUAGCUAAUCCUGGUCGGACAUCAGGAGGUUAGUGCAAUGGCAUAAGCUAGCUUGACUGCGAGCGUGACGGCGCGAGCAGGUGCGAAAGCAGGUCAUAGUGAUCCGGUGGUUCUGAAUGGAAGGGCCAUCGCUCAACGGAUAAAAGGUACUCCGGGGAUAACAGGCUGAUACCGCCCAAGAGUUCAUAUCGACGGCGGUGUUUGGCACCUCGAUGUCGGCUCAUCACAUCCUGGGGCUGAAGUAGGUCCCAAGGGUAUGGCUGUUCGCCAUUUAAAGUGGUACGCGAGCUGGGUUUAGAACGUCGUGAGACAGUUCGGUCCCUAUCUGCCGUGGGCGCUGGAGAAUUGAGGGGGGCUGCUCCUAGUACGAGAGGACCGGAGUGGACGCAUCACUGGUGUUCGGGUUGUCAUGCCAAUGGCACUGCCCGGUAGCUAAAUGCGGAAGAGAUAAGUGCUGAAAGCAUCUAAGCACGAAACUUGCCCCGAGAUGAGUUCUCCCUGAGACUUUAAGUCUCCUGAAGGAACGUUAAAGACGAUGACGUUGAUAGGCCGGGUGUGUAAGCGCAGCGAUGCGUUGAGCUAACCGGUACUAAUGAACCGUGAGGCUUAACCUUACAACGCCGAAG